UGGGGCGUCGCCAAGUGGUAAGGCACCAGGUUUUGAUCCUGGCAUUCGCAGGUUCGAAUCCUGCCGCCCCAG
Molecule: transfer RNA, 72 nt
Filed under: Dokdonella immobilis
Lineage: Bacteria; Pseudomonadati; Pseudomonadota; Gammaproteobacteria; Lysobacterales; Rhodanobacteraceae
Description: Dokdonella sp. LM 2-5 tRNA
Rfam family: tRNA
About the family: Transfer RNA (tRNA) molecules are approximately 80 nucleotides in length. Their secondary structure includes four short double-helical elements and three loops (D, anti-codon, and T loops). Further hydrogen bonds mediate the characteristic L-shaped molecular structure. tRNAs have two regions of fundamental functional importance: the anti-codon, which is responsible for specific mRNA codon recognition, and the 3' end, to which the tRNAs corresponding amino acid is attached (by aminoacyl-tRNA synthetases). tRNAs cope with the degeneracy of the genetic code in two manners: having more than one tRNA (with a specific anti-codon) for a particular amino acid; and 'wobble' base-pairing, i.e. permitting non-standard base-pairing at the 3rd anti-codon position.
Source: Rfam by way of RNAcentral